This 206-nucleotide ribosomal RNA is filed under the name uncultured bacterium. RNAcentral's name for it is "partial 16S ribosomal RNA". It matches the Rfam family "Bacterial small subunit ribosomal RNA", at positions 568 to 774 of the family's 1533-position model. The record is from RNAcentral.
UGCGUAGGUGGUUUUUAAGUCCGUUGUGAAAUCCCUGGGCUCAACCUGGGAAUGGCAGUGGAUACUGGAAGGCUAGAGUGCGGUAGAGGGUAGUGGAAUUCCCGGUGUAGCAGUGAAAUGCGUAGAGAUCGGGAGGAACACCAGUGGCGAAGGCGGCUACCUGGACCAGCACUGACACUGAAGCACGAAAGCGUGGGGAGCAAACA